GAUCAUGGCUCAGGACGAACGCUGGCGGCGUGCUUAACACAUGCAAGUCGAACGGAAAUACCAAGCUUGCUUGGUUGAUUAGUGGCGAACGGGUGAGUAACACGUGAGUAACCUGCCCCUUACUUUCCUGGAUAACUGCUCGAAAGGGUAGCUAAUACGGGAUAUUCUGACCAUCCUGCAUGGGUUGGUUUGGAAAGGUUGUUCUUCUGGUAAGGGAUGGGCUCGCGGCCUAUCAGCUUGUUGGUGGGGUG
RNAcentral lists this ribosomal RNA (251 nucleotides) under uncultured bacterium. RNAcentral describes it as "partial 16S ribosomal RNA". It matches the Rfam family "Bacterial small subunit ribosomal RNA", at positions 15 to 259 of the family's 1533-position model. The record is from RNAcentral.